RNAcentral lists this ribosomal RNA (539 nucleotides) under Rhinella cf. margaritifera VG-2014. RNAcentral's name for it is "partial 16S ribosomal RNA". It matches the Rfam family "Bacterial large subunit ribosomal RNA", at positions 1831 to 2572 of the family's 2925-position model. Lineage: Eukaryota; Metazoa; Chordata; Amphibia; Anura; Bufonidae. The record is from RNAcentral.
CGCCUCUUGAGCUUUAUAAGAGGUCCAGCCUGCCCAGUGACUCUGUUCAACGGCCGCGGUAUCCUAACCGUGCGAAGGUAGCGUAAUCACUUGUUCUUUAAAUGCGGACUAGUAUGAAUGGCACUACGAGGGUUAUACUGUCUCCUUUUUCUAAUCAGUGAAACUAAUUUUCCCGUGAAGAAGCGGGGAUACAACUAUAAGACGAGAAGACCCUAUGGAGCUUUAAACAAUCCAGCAAUUACUUCUAAAAUUAUAAAUUUCAGAAUAUUCAUUUCUUAAGUAAUGUGUCUGCAAGUUUUUGGUUGGGGUGACCAUGGAGAAUAAUAUAACCUCCAUAUUGAAUGAAUUCCCUUCUAAGCUGAAAAUUACCAAUUGAAGCAUCAAUAUACUGACAUCUAUUGACCCAAUAUAUUUGAUCAACGAACCAAGUUACCCUAGGGAUAACAGCGCAAUCCACUUCAAGAGCCCCUAUCGACAAGUGGGUUUACGACCUCGAUGUUGGAUCAGGGUAUCCCAGUGGCGCAGCCGCUACUAAAGGU